Molecule: ribosomal RNA, 253 nt
Filed under: uncultured bacterium
Lineage: Bacteria
Description: partial 16S ribosomal RNA
Rfam family: Bacterial small subunit ribosomal RNA
Source: RNAcentral
UACAGAGGUCUCAAGCGUUGUUCGGAUUCAUUGGGCGUAAAGGGCGCGUCGGCGGCGGGGUAAGUCGGGUGUGAAAUCUCAGAGCUCAACUCUGAAAUGGCACUUGAUACUGCUCUGCUAGAGGACUGGAGAGGAGAUUGGAAUUCCCAGUGUAGUGGUGAAAUACGUAGAGAUUGGGAAGAACACCAGUGGCGAAGGCGGCUAGCUGGACGGUUACUGACGCUAAGACUCGAAAGCGUGGGGAGCAAACAGG